This 450-nucleotide ribosomal RNA is filed under the name uncultured bacterium. Its description in RNAcentral is "partial 16S ribosomal RNA". It matches the Rfam family "Bacterial small subunit ribosomal RNA", at positions 354 to 796 of the family's 1533-position model. The record is from RNAcentral.
GUGGGGAAUAUUGGACAAUGGGGGCAACCCUGAUCCAGCCAUGCCGCGUGUGUGAAGAAGGCCUUCGGGUUGUAAAGCACUUUAAGCGGGGAGGAAGGUUCGCUGGCUAAUAUCCAGCGGAAUUGACGUUACCUGCAGAAUAAGCACCGGCUAACUCUGUGCCAGCAGCCGCGGUAAUACAGAGGGUGCAAGCGUUAAUCGGAAUUACUGGGCGUAAAGCGCGCGUAGGCGGUUGUGUAAGUUGGAGGUGAAAUCCCCGGGCUUAACCUGGGCACUGCCUUCAAAACUGCACGGCUAGAGUAUGGGAGAGGAAGGUAGAAUUCCAGGUGUAGCGGUGAAAUGCGUAGAGAUCUGGAGGAAUACCGAUGGCGAAGGCAGCCUUCUGGCCUAAUACUGACGCUGAGGUGCGAAAGCAUGGGGAGCAAACAGGAUUAGAAACCCGAGUAGUCC